UACGAAGGGGGCUAGCGUUGUUCGGAAUCACUGGGCGUAAAGCGCACGUAGGCGGAUUUUUAAGUCAGGGGUGAAAUCCUGGAGCUCAACUCCAGAACUGCCUUUGAUACUGAAAGUCUUGAGUAUGGGAGAGGUGAGUGGAACUGCGAGUGUAGAGGUGAAAAUUCGUAGAUAUUCGCAAGAACACCAGUGGCGAAGGCGGCUCACUGGCCCAUAACUGACGCUGAGGCACGAAAGCGUGGGGAGCAAACAGG
RNAcentral lists this ribosomal RNA (254 nucleotides) under uncultured bacterium. RNAcentral's name for it is "partial 16S ribosomal RNA". It matches the Rfam family "Bacterial small subunit ribosomal RNA", at positions 524 to 776 of the family's 1533-position model. The record is from RNAcentral.